Molecule: non-coding RNA, 1548 nt
Organism: Coturnix japonica (Japanese quail)
Lineage: Eukaryota; Metazoa; Chordata; Aves; Galliformes; Phasianidae
Source: RefSeq, a predicted model, not a curated record
UUUUGAAGCACGUGCUCUGCGUUUUUCCUGAGAGUUUUUUUUUUUUGGUCAUUGGCAGAUAUGGUCUUUUCUCCUGGAUGGCUAUACUCUUGUUGCAUCUCUGGUGGAGGUAGCAGCAUGCCCUGUAGCUACCUAUUCCUCUUCCCUUGUAUUGUUGGUGAUAUCUUAGCCUUUUUCUGGCUCUGUUGUCAUCUCUGCAUCACCAUGGGAGUGCAUUCUUUUCCUUAUCCUUUGUUUGAUCUGUAUUCCUUUGUUUGUUUCAGUUGUUGUUGAAUUGUUAUUUUGUUGUUGUUGUUUUUUACUUAUGCUGUUUUUUUCAUUUCUCUUAAUCUCUGAAUUUUAUCUCGUUAUCACUUAGCCUAAUUUAUAGCCUGCAGUUCUUUUCCCCGUGUCACGUUCAGGUUUGGAACCAGUCAGCCUGGGGUUACACCUCCCCAUGUUGCAUCUUUGUUGUUGCUAGGGAAAAGGAGUGGUUCCUUUUCUACAAGAUACUCUGAAAACAUCUGUACUAAAUGCACGGGGUUUGAUUUUGGUUGGGGAAAACAAACUGCUUCCCGUCUUACUCCCCCGUCACUUCCUUGGAGCCUUUCCUACUGCUCGCAUUUGCAGUUCGUCUUGUAGACAUGUAGUUAGAUAAGAGCAUCUCUGCUUUCCUCGUCCCUUUCCAGCUUGCCCUGAUUCUUCUGCUGCUGUCCUGCCUCUUCUGCUUCUUUCUCUGGUUCUCCUUGUUAAAUAAAUUGCAGCCCAACCUUCAAAAAGGAAAGAAGAAUUUAACUGCAGUGACCCAUGUCCUUAUCCCACUGUGGUCUGUGCUGAAAUGGCUAUUGACUGAAUUGGGAACAAGGCUGCCUUCCCCCUGCUUUCACAUAGCCUCUCUAUGGCAUACAAUAAGUGGGGUUUCACAGGUUGCGUGAGGAGCAGCCAGGUCCAAACCUUCCCUCCUUGUCAAUGCAGUGGCUGGGGAGGUUUCAAAGCUCCUUGGAGCCAGGGAGCUCUUUGGUGGAGCUGACGGAGGAAGGUCCCACCUCCAUCAGGGGAAAUAAGAAGGAACUCUGCCAUGCAAAAUAAGGAAUAACAUACCAAGUGGGGAUUGUACAGUGAAGCAGGAAACUGAUGCUCUGUUGGAAUAUGGAAUAAAGGGGGACUAAAAGAGGGAAACUUAAAGCUAGUUUAUAGAAACAAGUAAAGGAUAGUUAAAUUUUACAAGUAAAAGAAACAAGGGGCAUAGGAGAGCAAAGAGGAUGCAGCUAAGGAGUGAGACCUCACGGACGACAUCAGGCAAGGAGGAGAAUAACUACUUGUAAACUACCAGAAGAGGAGUUUCAUCCCCCUGAUAAGAACAAGAGGGGGUCUUCAUGCUAAAGACCUACUGAAUAUGUAUCAGAAUUCCGAGAACUACUGACUAUGUAUUAGAAUUCUGAGAAAUCAUUGACUAUGUAUUAGAUGUACCUAUAUCUGUGUCACGAUUUUACAAGUUGGUGUGCAAGUUUGGUGGAGCUAUCCCCCUUGCACCCGGCACUGGAAUAAACAUACCUGCUUUAUAACCCA